CCUACGGGAGGCAGCAGUAAGGAAUAUUGGACAAUGGGCGCAAGCCUGAUCCAGCCAUGCCGCGUGAAGGAUUAAGGUCCUCUGGAUUGUAAACUUCUUUUAUAGGGGACGAAAAAAGGGCAUUCUUGUUCACUUGACGGUACCCUAUGAAUAAGCACCGGCUAACUCCGUGCCAGCAGCCGCGGUAAUACGGAGGGUGCAAGCGUUAUCCGGAUUCACUGGGUUUAAAGGGUGCGUAGGCGGGCAGGUAAGUCAGUGGUGAAAUCCUAGAGCUUAACUCUAGAACUGCCAUUGAUACUAUCUGUCUUGAAUAUUGUGGAGGUAAGCGGAAUAUGUCAUGUAGCGGUGAAAUGCUUAGAUAUGACAUAGAACACCUAUUGCGAAGGCAGCUUACUACGCAUAUAUUGACGCUGAGGCACGAAAGCGUGGGGAUCAAACAGGAUUAGAUACCCUGGUAGUCCACGCCCUAAACGAUGGAUACUCGACAUACGCGAUACACUGUGUGUGUCUGAGCGAAAGCAUUAAGUAAUCCACCUUGGGAAGUACGUUCCGCAAGGAUUGAACUCAAGGAAUUGACGGCUUGAGACGNGCGAGGACGACGACGAGGAGUAGG
This 613-nucleotide ribosomal RNA is filed under the name uncultured bacterium. Its description in RNAcentral is "bacterial SSU rRNA". It matches the Rfam family "Bacterial small subunit ribosomal RNA", at positions 338 to 950 of the family's 1533-position model. The record is from RNAcentral.